AAGCUCGUAGUUGAAUUUCGGGAUUAGUGCGCCGGUCGUGCCUUCGGUAUGUACUGGUGUUACUGAUUCCUACCUUCUGACGAACCGUCAUGUCAUUAAUUUGGUGUGGCGGGGAAUCAGGACUGUUACUUUGAAAAAAUUAGAGUGUUUAAAGCAGGCUCGCGCUUGAAUACAUUAGCAUGGAAUAAUGAAAUAGGACGUUCGAUCCUAUUUUGUUGGUUUCUAGGAUUGACGUAAUGAUUAAUAGGGAUAGUUGGGGGCAUUAGUAUUCAAUUGUCAGAGGUGAAAUUCUUGGAUUUAUUGAAGACUAACUACUGCGAAAGCAUUUGCCAAGGAUGUUUUCAUUAAUCAAGAACGAAAGUUAGGGGAUCGAAGACGAUCAGAUACCGUCGUAGUCUUAACCAUAAACUAUGCCGACUAGGGAUCGGAUGAUGUUAUUUUUAAUGACUCAUUCGGCGCCUUACGGGAAACCAAAGUGUUUGGGUUCCGGGGGGAGUAUGGUCGCAAGGCUGAAACUUAAAGGAAUUGACGGAAGGGCACCACCAGGGGUGGAGCCUGCGGCUUAACUUGACUCAACACGGGGAAA
This 586-nucleotide ribosomal RNA is filed under the name uncultured Glomus. Its description in RNAcentral is "SSU rRNA". It matches the Rfam family "Eukaryotic small subunit ribosomal RNA", at positions 624 to 1213 of the family's 1831-position model. The record is from RNAcentral. Lineage: Eukaryota; Fungi; Glomeromycota; Glomeromycetes; Glomerales; Glomeraceae.